GGUGCUGCAUGGCUGUCGUCAGCUCGUGUCGUGAGAUGUUGGGUUAAGUCCCGCAACGAGCGCAACCCUCACCCUCUGUUGCUACCGGGUAAUGCCGGGCUCUCUGAGGAACUGCCGCGGAUAACGCGGAGGAAGGUGGGGAUGACGUCAAGUCCUCAUGGCCUUUAUGUCCAGGGCUACACACGUGCUACAAUGGC
RNAcentral lists this ribosomal RNA (197 nucleotides) under uncultured Geobacter sp. RNAcentral's name for it is "partial 16S ribosomal RNA". It matches the Rfam family "Bacterial small subunit ribosomal RNA", at positions 1037 to 1234 of the family's 1533-position model. The record is from RNAcentral. Lineage: Bacteria; Pseudomonadati; Thermodesulfobacteriota; Desulfuromonadia; Geobacterales; Geobacteraceae.